GCAUAUCAAUAAGCGGAGGAAAAGAAACCAACAGGGAUGCCUUCAGUUAACGGCGAAGUGAAGCGGCAACAGCUCAAAUUUGAAAUCUGGCCCUUUCAGGGUCCGAGUUGUAAUUUGUAGAAGAGGCUUCGGGUGUGGCUCCGGUCUAAGUUCCUUGGAACAGGACGUCAUAGAGGGUGAGAAUCCCGUCUGUGACCGGUCGCCUUCGCCCAUGUGAAGCUCUUUCGACGAGUCGAGUUGUUUGGGAAUGCAGCUCAAAAUGGGUGGUAAAUUUCAUCUAAAGCUAAAUAUUGGCCAGAGACCGAUAGCGCACAAGUAGAGUGAUCGAAAGAUGAAAAGCACUUUGGAAAGAGAGUUAAACAGUACGUGAAAUUGUUGAAAGGGAAGCGCUUGCAACCAGACUUGCGCGCGGUCGAUCAUCCGGUGUUCUCACCGGUGCACUCGGCCGCGCUCAGGCCAGCAUCGGUCUGGGUGGUUGGAUAAAGGCCUGGGGAAUGUGGCUCCUCUCGGGGAGUGUUAUAGCCCCAGGUGCAAUGCAGCCUACCUGGACCGAGGACCGCGCUUCGGCUAGGAUGCUGGCGUAAUGGUUGUAAGCGACCCGUCUUGAAACACGGACCAAGGAGUCUAACAUCUAUGCGAGUGUUUGGGUGUCAAACCCAUACGCGUAAUGAAAGUGAACGGAGGUGAGAACCCUUAAGGGUGCAUCAUCGACCGAUCCUGAUGUCUUCGGAUGGAUUUGAGUAAGAGCAUAGCUGUUGGGACCCGAAAGAUAGUGAACUAUGCCUGAAUAGGGUGAAAGCCAGAGGAAACUCUGGUGGAGGCUCGCAGCGGUUCUGACGUGCAAAUCGAUCGUCAAAUUUGGGUAUAGGGGGCGAAAGACUAAUCGAACUAUCUAGUAGCUGGUUCCUGCCGAA
Molecule: ribosomal RNA, 914 nt
Filed under: Amorphotheca resinae (creosote fungus)
Lineage: Eukaryota; Fungi; Ascomycota; Leotiomycetes; Helotiales; Amorphothecaceae
Description: LSU rRNA
Rfam family: Eukaryotic large subunit ribosomal RNA
Source: RNAcentral